AGAUUAAAAAAUAUAUGGUCUUAUAUUUAUCUUGUAAUUUGUCAUUUUAUUAUUUUAAUUUUCUUAUUUCUAUAUAUACAUAUGUACAUAUUAAAAUCAACUCUUCCACGUGUACGUUUAUAUGGGGUUUAUCUAGUAUGUAUAUCUUAGAAAUGUACUAUUUAUAGUGAAUUUUAUUUUUUAUGCACACAAAUUAGGAAUAUUUUAUUUUUUAUGCACACAAAUUAGGCAUAGUAUAUGAGUAAUUUAUCUAAUUGGCUGAAAAUAACUAUUAAGAAGAAAUCAACAAAAACAUUAAAUACAAAAGAUCUGAUAUGAAUAAUGAGGAAAAAUACAGAUAUCAAAAGCUUAAAACUUUGACACACUCACCUCAUCUCACCUCCCCU
RNAcentral lists this long non-coding RNA (386 nucleotides) under Brassica napus (rape). RNAcentral's name for it is "long non-coding RNA (BNAP_LNC024573)". The record is from RNAcentral. Lineage: Eukaryota; Viridiplantae; Streptophyta; Magnoliopsida; Brassicales; Brassicaceae.